UCUACUCCUCCUGGGUGUAUUUGCUUCUUUUUGUUCUAGAGCUUUUAGGUGUGCUGUCAAGCUGCUGACAUAUGCUCUUUCCUGUUUCUUUCUGCAGGCACUCAGCGCUAUGAGUUUUCCUCUUAGCACAGCUUUCAUUGUGUCCCAUAAGUUUGGGUAUGUUGUACCUUCAUUUUCAUUAAAUUCUAAAAAGUUUUUAAUUUCUUUCUUUAUUUCUUCCUUGACCAGGUUGUCAUUGAGUAGAGCAUUGUUCAAUUUCCACGUAUAUGUGGGCAUUCUUCCCUUAUUGUUAUUGAAGACCAGUUUUAGGCCGUGGUGGUCCGAUAGCACGCAUGGGAUUAUUUCUAUCUUUCUGUACCUGUUGAGGCCCGUUUUUUGACCAAUUAUAUGGUCAAUUUUGGAGAAAGUACCAUGAGGAGCUGAGAAGAAGGUAUAUCCUUUUGCUUUAGGAUAGAAUGUUGUAUAAGUAUCCGUUAAGUCCAUUUGGCUCAUGACUUCUCUUAGUCUGUCUACAUCUCUGUUUAAUUUCUGUUUCCAUGAUCUGUCCAUUGAUGAGAGUGGGGUGUUGAAAUCUCCCACUAUUAUUGUGUGAGGUGCAAUGUGUGUUUUGAGCUUUAGUAAGGUUUCUUUUACAUGUGUAGGUGCCCUUGUAUUUGGGGCAUAGAUAUUUAGGAUUGAGACUUCAUCUUGGUGGAUUUUUCCUUUGAUGAAUAUGAAGUGUCCUUCCUUAUCUUUUUUGAUGACUUUUAGUUGAAAAUUGAUUUUAUUUGAUAUUAGAAUGGCUACUCCAGCUUGCUUCUUCUGACCAUUUGCUUGGAAAAUUGUUUUCCAGCCUUUCACUCUGAGGUAAUGUCUGUCUUUGUCUCUGAGGUGUGUUUCCUGUAGGCAGCAGAAUGCAGGGUCCUCGUUGCGUAUCCAGUUUGUUAAUCUAUGCAAAAGACUGAGUAUUAUACAUUGUCCAGGACACCAGAAAGGGCACAACCCAGAGGCACGAAGAAACCGGCUGGCCGAUGCCACGGCUCGAGAAGCGGCCGUGAGCAAAUAAAUCUUGCCCUUACAUAGCCCAGACCAACCCACGCCCCCACCAGUGGGACAAACUAGUUGGGUUUAUGCCCAUGAGGACAUAGAGCUCCUAAAAAAAUGGGGGCCAUCUACCACCCUCAACUAAAACAGUGGGUCUACAAAGGACUUUUGAAUUGAUUUCCUUUUUACAUAAGAAGAUAAAAACCUUACUAGAUCGAGAAGAGAUAAAUCUGUGUUUUUUUUUUGAAUUGGGACAAAGCGAUACAAAAGGUGACUGAGAGUUACAAAGCGUGCGCUCAGGUUAACCCGGGAAGGACCAUGAUUGGACAAGGAGUUCGUCCUAGGGGACACCGUCCUGACAUCCAUUGAGAAAUUGAUUUUACUAAAAUUAAACCAGAUAUAUAUGGAUACAAGUAUCUCCUAGUGUUUGUAGACACCUUCUCAGGAUGGGUCAAAGCCUUCCCCACGAAGCACGAGACUACAAAAAUGGUCACCAAGAAGCUCCUCGAGGAAAUCUUUCCCAGCCCUUCUCUGAGGGCCCAUUUACAGGCCCUACAGAUUGUGCAGAGAGACGUCUGGAGACCUUUGGCCACUGCUUACCAGGACAAGCUUGAGCAUCCGGUGGUGCCACACCCGUUCCAGAUUGGAGACACCGUGUGGGUGCACAGACACCAGACCAAGAAUCUCGAGCCAUGGUGAAAAGGACCCUACACCGUCCUCCUGACUACCCCGACCGCCCUAAAGGUAGACGGAGUCUCGGCUUAGAUCCACACACCACACGUCAAGGCAGUCCGGUCUGAGGAAUUGACUAAUCACAACACUACACCCCAGACAUGGAGAGUUCAGCGCACUCCAAACCCCUUAAAGUUAAAACUCCUACGUGGCUCCUCCUAGCCCUUUUGUGGCCUAGAGUCAGUGGGGGAAUAAGCCCCCACCAGACAGAAAUUUCUUGACCAAGUUGAGUGAAAGAUUUCACUCAAAGUUAGCAAAAAAAUGGGGGAAUGAAAGACCCCAGCUUAGCAGCAGUAACGCCAUUUUGCAAGGCUGUACUUAAGAUGACUGGUUCAGGGAAAGGUUAGAACACUGAGUACACAGCGGCUGCCAAGCAAGAUAUGUUUGGUUGAAGGCCUGGCAACAGGACGACUUCGGUUGAGCACCUGACAAUGAAAAAAAGCCCCAGGAGAGGUCCCACACCCUGGUGGGGGGCCGAGUCAGUCGUUAUGUUCCAAGAAGGUAGCUAAGAAACUUGCCCCCGGGCUGAACCCUUGGGGGGCCGAGUCAGCCGUUAUGUUUCAGGAAGGUAGCUAGGAAACUUGCCCCCGGGCUAAACCCUUGCCAUAUUAGAAUCCACCAAUUAUAUCCCUGUAACCAUGCAUCUGCUUCUGUAUGCUUGCUUCUGCUCCCCAAAAUCCUAUAAAAGCCCAUCCUUGGUUCCGUGGGGCGUGCCAGUCCCCCGAGUGACUGAAGCGCCCGCAGGUGCCUGUGCCUGUGUAUCCCAACAAUAAACCAAAUCCUCUUGCUGAUUGCA
Rattus norvegicus (Norway rat) is the source of this 2551-nucleotide non-coding RNA. The record is from RefSeq and is a predicted model, not a curated record. NCBI's taxonomy places the organism in Eukaryota, Metazoa, Chordata, Mammalia, Rodentia, Muridae.